RNAcentral lists this ribosomal RNA (417 nucleotides) under Triticum aestivum (bread wheat). RNAcentral's name for it is "partial small subunit ribosomal RNA". Lineage: Eukaryota; Viridiplantae; Streptophyta; Magnoliopsida; Poales; Poaceae. The record is from RNAcentral.
AUGAAUAUUGUCCUCCUAUCCCGUUGGCUCUGGCGCAUUUCGCAAGGGCACGACGGCCUUUGGUUAGACAUCAUCCGGAACAAGUACCUACGUGGGCAACCCCUGGCCUUCCGUCAGAGGUCCGGCGGUUCCCAGUUCUGGCAGUCGGUUAUCCAACUGCUCCCUGUCCUCCGCAUUGGGACUUCCAUCUCGGUCGGAUCGGGAGCUGCGACUUUGUUCUGGUUUGAUCGGUGGGCGGGAGACACCCCCUUCGCUGCACGCUUCCCCGACCUCUUCUCCAUCGCCGUCGACCCUUCGAUCUCCGUAGAGAGGGCCCUUAUUGACUUAGGGCGCCUCGCUUUCCGGAGGCCAUUUGGGCCUCCAGAAGCCGCCACCUGGCAGGAGUUGCUUGAUUGUGUCGCUCUCACGAGCCGGUAG